AACGGACUUUUGGUUUCUCUUUCAAUUGGUUUCUUAGGCUUCAUUUGAUUCUCAUUUUUCUCUCUUUUUCUUUUCAACCACACAUUAUUCAUUAAAAUAAUAUUACAAGUAAAUAAAAAAAACUUUUACUUAUUUUUCAUCCACACAUUUUUUUAUCAAUAUACUACUCUAAUUUUUUUUUUUUUCAUAAAACCGAAUGUUAAACACCCUCUUAAACAAAGACAAUGCUAUGUGUAUAGCAUUACACUUCCCUCAUAUGCAGGAGGACCCACAUACAAUAAAAUAUUCGUAAACCUCUCUCCAUGUGAGGGGGUGCAUCAUGAGGUGUACACAUAGAAUUAUCCCCAAACAAAUAGGGACUUAAAAAGUUUCUCUCAUCUGUCAAUUUCAAAACUGAUUUAUUAAAGUACUUGAACACCACCAAUAUACUGGGUCACUAUAAGACAAAUGGAUAGCCUAGACCCACAUGCUUGUAACUUUUAAUCAGCAUAAAUCAAGUUUUCUUAACACUGCUACUUUCUUAAUGGUUAAGAAUCAACCUAACAUUCAAAAGGGUCAGCCAGCAGCGUGAUGUGCUCAAUGAGUUAACAGUGAUAUACUAUUAUAGCCUUUAGCGCUCAUUUAAGUCCUAUUUUGGAGGAAAAAAAUGUAUUUCAAAAUAGUGAUUAUUUGAAAAAUGUAUGGUUGAAAAUUAAGAAAAAAUUAUUUUAUUAGAAAAUAUAUAAUUGAAAAGAAGUUUUGAAAAAAUGAAUUUUUCAUAAAAUGGGACUCAAACAAGGGCUUAAUUUGAUCGACCGUCUUGCCAGACUUUCGCUAUUUGACAGGUCAAAUCCUUAACAAAUACAACUUCAAGAAAGUGGAAAGCGCUUUAGCCAUUUUCUAUGGCGUUUCUUGAAUCAAAAGCAGAACGUAACUCAAUCCAAAUCACACAUCUAUAUUUUUCUCCUUUAUUCACCUGCUUUUCCCUGUUUCAAAGAACCAAUUGGCCCCGUAACUUAAUUAAAAGCUUCAUUUUCUCUUUACUUUUUCAUUCUCCACUUCAAAGUUUAUAUAAGUGCCUGAAAUAAUGUGCAUUUCCGUCUUCAUAACUUCGUAUCGAGGAUGUCUUCUUCUGAUAUUCCAAAAACGCCUCUUCCACCGCCCCCGCCAUUCACGCCAACUCACCAAAAGAAACACAAACAAUCUCCUCCCCAAAAGAUUGUCUCAUCGAAACAAGCCUGCA
RNAcentral lists this long non-coding RNA (1222 nucleotides) under Olea europaea subsp. europaea. Lineage: Eukaryota; Viridiplantae; Streptophyta; Magnoliopsida; Lamiales; Oleaceae. The record is from RNAcentral.